This 802-nucleotide ribosomal RNA is filed under the name Triticum aestivum (bread wheat). RNAcentral's name for it is "partial small subunit ribosomal RNA". The record is from RNAcentral. Lineage: Eukaryota; Viridiplantae; Streptophyta; Magnoliopsida; Poales; Poaceae.
CCUCUAGCCGUCUCCAUCCGCCCUUUUCUUGUAGAUCGCCGGCGACAUCCAGGGCGCACGGCCACCUUCCAGCAACCACCGUGACCAGAUCCGGCGACUUCGGCCUCCUCCUUCCUGCAACAGGCCGAGGUUGAAAAGGAGGCCGGCGAGCUCGAGCCACCGCCCCACGGCUCCCCCGCGCGAAUGGAUCCAGGACUACUAGGUGGCCAAAUCCGGCAGGCGGCAUCACCGGUAAGGCACUCGAUGGCACGCCCCUGCCAUGGAGAACCACCACUGCCCGAAGAGCAAAACGAGCGUGCGCAAAGCUCCCCGUGGGCUGCUCUGUACGAUGGCUCCACCGUGCAGUCCGCACGCGGCCCCUUGUCCGCCUGCCCACCUCGCAAUGGCAGUUGCCGGUCGCUGCACCUUCACGCGGAGGCGGCCAAGGACGCAAAAGUGGAGAAGCGGCGACGAGAUCUCAUUUUCUAGCCCCCCGACAAGCUACCCCUCCUCCCCUUGAAGUCAAACCGCACCGACCUUGCAGUGCGCCGGCGCGCGCGAUGUGGUUCACGCGUUGCCUUGCUGUUGCCCCUCAUCUGUGCGUUUCUUGUUGUUCUUCUGAAGAGAUAUAAAUAUGCAAAUGCAGUCAACUGUUGUUUUGCUAAGGGGAGCCUUGGCGCAGUGGUAAAGCUGCUGCCUUGUGACCAUGAGGUCAUGGGUUCAAGUCCUGGAAACAGCCUCUUACAAAAAUGUAGGGAAAGGCUGCGUACUAUAGACCCAAAGUGGUCGGACCCUUCUCUGGACCCUGCGCAAGCGAGAGCUA